CACGCUGGGCUCACAACUCCACCAGCAACCAGACUGUUCACUCAGAGGCUAAUGCCACUGCUGAGUUCAUGGAUAAAUUGGUAACAGGCAGCGAUGUCGUGGUGGAAAGCGCGCAAACGCACAGCCCUUAACCCAGAGCCACUUGAGCGCUUUCCCAUCUCAACCCGUCACUCCGAGCCCCGAAUCCAGAGCCAUCCACACGGAGGCGAAUCGCUACAGACCGGAGAGGAGGUUCCGCCCCACCAAAGAGCCCAACCCGGAGACGCAGGUGAGGCACAGGGACAACGAAACGCCCCAGAAAGACAGGCUACUGGAGCGAGAAGAGGCCAAACUCGAGGAGGAGCGGAGGGAGCUGUUUCUUCUCCACAAAAGGCUGGACCAAGAGAAGGAAAAACUGAGACAACAGCAGCUGAAACGCGAAGAGGAGGAGCGGAGCGGCCACCCGCGCAAGCACCAUCACCACCACGCGCAAACAACCAUGCACGCGCCAGAGACAACGACAUCCACAGCAGCAACAACAACAACAACAACCACGCAGCCACCUUCAGUUCCAGCAGGGCCCAGGCCUCCAGCUCAGUCGCGGCCGAGGAGGAGGAGGAGGAAAAAUCGUAAACGGAUUAGCAAGGCAGCUAUGAGGGCAAUGCUAAUGUAAAAUAAACCAAGAUGGACUCAGUGAACACGGUGUCUUCUGUGGACGUAUCCAGAGAUGAAGCACCCCGUCUCCCCGGCAACAGCGUUUAAUCACCUGUCAAUAACUUAAACCCUACGAGGUCUUCUGUGUAACACUACUAAUGACUGUUAACCCAACUUCCCUGGGUCGGACAGAGCAAAGGAAUGGCUGGACUUGCUAGGGGCGGAGAACUCUUAUUAGUGGGACCUCACUUGAAGCACCCCCAAGAUAAAGGCUGGGCGCAGACUGGAACUGCAGAGCCCCGUCGCUGUGGACAAAUAGUGCAAUCCUGGACUCCCCUUGGACCCUUAUUUUGGAUAUCGACAGAGACAGGACUGAAAGGCUCUCUGCUGAAUGACUGUCUCAUCAUGACUACUAAGUGCUUUUGGUGCAUAUAAAACUGUUGGUGUAGUGAGAGCCAGGGGAUGGCUGAGUGGUUAGUCGUAGGAUCAUAUUCCGUGCUUACUUUCCGUUCUCUCUGGGUGCUCCUACCAUCCUGUACUGUGUGAAUGGACAUGUCCUCUGUGGAGUGUCUGCAGAAUAUCAGCAGAUCGAGGGACAUACCUGGAGUAAGUAAGUAAGUUAUUUCAACAUGCAGUGUUUACAACAUGGCCAAACACAGUCAGGUCAUGUUCAAACAUCCUGCAGACAGUACGAGGCUGUCACUCUCUCUCUCUCAGUGCCAGUCUCAAAACAUUACUGUGACCUAUACAUAAAUGGGAAUGGAAAAUCUCCACGACAGUCAUAUCUUUGUAUAGGUCGUACUAAUUCAAUUGUAUUUAAAUGUGCAGAUAAACACUGAAGUUUGAUGUAGUGGUGACUCAAAGUGGCUUCCCUGUCAGCUUUAUCUAUGACCAGAGCCGUGUGCAAAGGUGGCAAACAUUAGGAACACAGAUAUGUGCAAAAUGCCAUUGACCCUUUUCGAUAUUAUUUUUUAUAAACAUGAUCAGAAAUACCAUUUUGCUUCUAACAACUUUUUCAGCCCAUGACAUGACUGUUAUUGGCUAAAAUGAGGUGUGUUGAUCUAAUCAGCAACAAUUGCCUCACUGAAAGUUCAUCCUCCAUCAUUCCAGACAUGUAUUACUGUGCAAAUGAUAUCUGCACAGUAAUCUUAAUAUGACUUCUGUCAGGUUAUAUGACUGAGCCCACUCGCAUUAUUAUUUUUGUUAGUUUAGUUUAGUUUAUUAGUUUAUUUGAGCAGUUAAAAUUCUGCUCAAAAGGAGUGGGCUGAAGCAAAGCUUAUAAGCGCCCACCCCGACAUCAAUGAAAUAAAAACAAUUGAUCAAAUCACACAAGUACAGGGAGCAUGUUACAAAGUACAAGACACAAGAGCAGGAACACAGCACACACACACACACACAUCGUACCCCUCCGUGACCCAACUUUACCUGUUAUAGUUACAUUAUCAAUCCUACAUUAAGCAACAUCAUAUUUUGAUUUUUUUUUUUUUUUUUUUUGUCCCACCGGCAAAGAGAACCUACAACCCACUAGAGCGGCCAUUUCAACACGGACCACACCCACAAAGCAUCUCUAGAAUUGUUGUACAAAUAUAAAUUAACAGAGUUAAUUUAUAUUUGUAUUAUAAUGUAUUAUUUUUGUUAAUCAAGACUCAACCUUGCUGCGUAAGCGCAGCCACUAUGAUGGUGCUCUGUCUGUUUUAUUUAGAGAGAGAGAGCGAGAGAGAGAGAGAGGAAAAAACCAGACUAAAGCUUUGUGUACAGUUUGACAGAAAAUGAAUUAGGACGGCUGGGCAGGUUACCCACUUACAAAGCACUGCUGGACUCCAUCCCCUGGAAUUUAGGAGCAGAAAAUGAAUGAAUAAAGGGAGAGUUCGAGAGACAAUCAAACUGAAAGACUAGUAUUAGCAACUUUCACAUCAACCUUCAACAACCACAAGUAUGAGUUUUUAAUAUGUCCAUAUACAGUGUCUCUGUGUAACAAUAUUUAAUGUAUUUAACUAAAUACACUGGAAGUGUAAACUGGUCACCAGACAAUACAAUGUUUCUGUUUUUCAUUUUCCAUGUGAUCUGACUGUGUCUUAUUUAUUUAGCCAUACAUUACUGUGGACUAACUUUUUAUACAGAUUUGUUUUCUAUACAGUGCUUCAGUGUUGCAUGCUCACUAGGUGGUUCUGAAUGGGACCACCUAGGACUGCUCUCAUGUGUAAUAUCCGGUAGUGUGUGGCGGGUGCCCACUCUCACACCUCUGUCAUAAAGCAAGCUCUGUUUUUGUCUUCAAUACAGAUAUGACUCUUGUCUUUGGAAAGUCAUUCUUUUCACAUCCUGGGAAAGCAAUCGUCUUCUACAACCAACAGGGUUUUUCCAUUUCUCUAAAUUUAACUUCCAGACAUUGUUUUUGACAUAGGUGGAAAAUGAAUAAGUACAUUGGCACUUGUAAAUUAAAAGCAGAACGUCACUUUUGCAACUGGACAUAAUUGCUUUUCAUUGUAUCCGGAUACAUUCAGUGAUGCCAAACACUAGUGAUACUGACAACCAGAAUUAGCAACCUUUUAAGUUAUUGAAAUAUUGUACAGUGUGUGUGCUAACCUUAACUGUUUCAU
Molecule: long non-coding RNA, 3230 nt
Filed under: Neogobius melanostomus (round goby)
Lineage: Eukaryota; Metazoa; Chordata; Actinopteri; Gobiiformes; Gobiidae
Description: lncRNA (ENSNMLG00000010812.1)
Source: RNAcentral